RNAcentral lists this long non-coding RNA (360 nucleotides) under Sinocyclocheilus anshuiensis. RNAcentral describes it as "lncRNA (ENSSANG00000051518.1)". The record is from RNAcentral. Lineage: Eukaryota; Metazoa; Chordata; Actinopteri; Cypriniformes; Cyprinidae.
GACGGUCAUAUGUUAAGGUUCUUGAAAUGUGGGAUACAGUAUCCACAGAAGAGCGCCAGGUCAUAUUGGAGAGCUUCAAAGGAGAUCCAUCAGCAGUUGAGGUUUACCAGAGGUUGCUAAAUUUUGUGAAAGUAGAGAAAGUUCUGUCAGCUCAAACAGUCCUUACUUUGUUAGAACAGCUAAAAUGUUUAAAUUCUGAGCCGGGAUCAGUUUUGGAGGACCAGGGAAACAAGAGCUGUCCCGAGCCAGAAGUUCCUGCAUCAGGAGUUCGGUGGUCUAGUGGGCUUUUGGCCCAUAUAUCAGAACUAUCUCAUCACCUCUCCAGUGUCAGCAACCUCUCAGAGCUUUUGACCAACGCAG